This 458-nucleotide ribosomal RNA is filed under the name uncultured bacterium. RNAcentral's name for it is "partial 16S ribosomal RNA". It matches the Rfam family "Bacterial small subunit ribosomal RNA", at positions 338 to 795 of the family's 1533-position model. The record is from RNAcentral.
CCUACGGGAGGCAGCAGUGAGGAAUAUUGGUCAAUGGGCGAGAGCCUGAACCAGCCAAGUCGCGUGAGGGAGUACUGCCCUAUGGGUUGUAAACCUCUUUUGUCGGGGAGCAAAAGCCGGACGUGUCCGGCUGUGAGAGUACCCGAAGAAAAAGCAUCGGCUAACUCCGUGCCAGCAGCCGCGGUAAUACGGAGGAUGCGAGCGUUAUCCGGAUUUAUUGGGUUUAAAGGGUGCGCAGGCGGAUUUUUAAGUCAGAGGUAAAAUCGUGGGGCUCAACCCCAUCCAGCCGUUGAAACUGGGGAUCUAGAGUGUGCGAGAGGUAUGCGGAAUGCGUGGUGUAGCGGUGAAAUGCAUAGAUAUCACGCAGAACCCCGAUUGCGAAGGCAGCAUACCGGUGCACAACUGACGCUCAGGCACGAAAGCGUGGGUAUCGAACAGGAUUAGAUACCCUUGUAGUC